This is a non-coding RNA of Doryrhamphus excisus (bluestripe pipefish), 821 nucleotides long. The record is from RefSeq and is a predicted model, not a curated record. NCBI's taxonomy places the organism in Eukaryota, Metazoa, Chordata, Actinopteri, Syngnathiformes, Syngnathidae.
AACAUCUUUGGCUGUUCCCUUAGUUGGUCAGGCCGGUUCGGAUCACAUGGCUCCUCGUCGGACCCUUCGGUCAACUGCUGGCCACCACACUAAUGUGUAUCACCUCCCACGGCCAGUUAGAAACCCACAAGUUGCCAACCCUUCUGUUUCGAAUGGAGUGUCUGCUUUGUUUAGACCUUGGAGCUAGUUUGUAGUGUCUCCCUCAUUUUUGUUCAUCGUCGGGGCGACGAUGCAAGAAGGGGGGAUAGAAUGUAGCAGCAUAGGAGUAUGUUCAUAUCCCCCUAUGCAGCGUGUCCCGUUAAACAGAGUUCACUGCCGGCCAAUCAUUGGGUAGGUGGAGAGUAUUUAAGCAGCGCUCCUCUCACUGCUUCUCUCUCUGCACUUCCGUCUGUGUACUUCCGGGGUCAAGUGUUCGACUGAGACAGUGACCGGUGUGCUGUUGGGGCAUACGUGUCUUUCGGCGUCCUAUUGUGGUGAGACGCCCGUAGCCGCCUGGGUUUACUCCCUCGCUCCUCUCAUGUGCCUGUGUAUCUGCUUAAAAGUUGCUGAGGAUCGGUGGUGGUGCUGGUGGUCUGGGUGGCGGUAUCCCCUCCUUCCGUGUGCGGUGCUCCUCUGGGAUUGGUUUUCUUUGCACAACCCUGUGUGAGUGUGUCACGUGUGACUGGGUGCUUUUUGAGUUGUUUUGGGUGGAUCCCUCCCCCCUUCACUAGCCCAUUGUCCACCUGGUAAGCCUCAGCACCUGAUUAGGUUUCCCUCUUCCCCUUCUUGUGUGUGGUAUUUUAAACGGAUGUCAACUUGUUAAUAAAAUCUAUUAAUUUUUU